UCAGCAUUUUAAAAGGAUCAUAUCCGCCUGAGUAAAUUAGUUUCUUGUGCACAUUACAUUAGUCCUGUGUUUUCCACACCUUUUUUAUGUAGACAGACAGGGUCUCAAGCCAUCCAUCCAAUUCAGAGAACAGGAUUGUUACUGUGUGCUCUACUGCAGGUGUGGGGCUGUGCUGCUUUUCAUUUAGCUUCCCAAGAGAAAAGGAGGCAGAACAACGUCUAAUAUAACUGAACAAUACACAUCAGAUGUCAAAUAAGGAGACUGCUGCAUUAGCACUUCCGUUUUUUCUUUUGUGGAUAUUUAUUUGAAAGCACAUGCAUUAAGUGCAGCUUCAACUGGAUCGGAGCUUUUCCUGCAUUACAGCACUGCUAUGUUCUUUACAGUUUUAUGAUUUCUAUGUAAAACAAUAACACAACACUAAAAUUCUCUUUUGCUGACCCUGCUGAAGACAGAUAUUACUUCCUAUCAAGAUUUUGGAAAGAUUAAACAGUCUGGAUAUUACACUGGGUCUAAAGUAUGAUGCAGAGUUAGAACUCAUUUCAGUUCUUUGGACCUAAAGUAUAUUGCAUUUGCAGUUGGAACCUAAAAAGCAGACACCAGCUGAGUAUCAUCAAGUGAUUCCUGAGCAACUCCCAGCUAUAGCAAGUGGAGAUGUCCCCGCCCACUCUCUAAACUUGGCAGACUAGAACGCUGCUUCAGAAGCCUCAGGCAAAACAUUUUUGGAUUCUUGGUGUCUCUCCUGAUGUUUCUUUAAAAGGAAGCCUUUGUGUUUUUACAUGAGAAGGGCCUGUUACAGCAAUUCCCGAGUAAAAAGGUAA
Long non-coding RNA from Xenopus laevis (African clawed frog), 818 nucleotides. RefSeq lists it as uncharacterized. Lineage: Eukaryota; Metazoa; Chordata; Amphibia; Anura; Pipidae. The transcript is spliced from 3 exons. The record is from RefSeq and is a predicted model, not a curated record.